GAUGAACGCUGGCGGCGUGCCUAAUACAUGCAAGUCGAGCGAACAGACGAGGAGCUUGCUCCUCUGACGUUAGCGGCGGACGGGUGAGUAACACGUGGAUAACCUACCUAUAAGACUGGGAUAACUUCGGGAAACCGGAGCUAAUACCGGAGAAUAUAUUGAACCGCAUGGUUCAAUAGUGAAAGACGGUUUUGCUGGAACUUAUAGAUGGAUCCGCGCCGCAUUAGCUAGUUGGUAAGGUAACGGCUUACCAAGGCAACGAUGCGUAGCCGACCUGAGAGGGUGAUCGGCCACACUGGAACUGAGACACGGUCCAGGCUCCUACGGGAGGCAGCAGUAGGGAAUCUUCCGCAAUGGGCGAAAGCUUGACGGAGCAACGCCGCGUGAGUGAUGAAGGUCUUCGGAUCGUAAAACUCUGUUAUUAGGGAAGAACAAAUGUGUAAGUAACUAUGCACGUCUUGACGGUACCUAAUCAGAAAGCCACGGCUAACUACGUG
RNAcentral lists this ribosomal RNA (497 nucleotides) under uncultured bacterium. Its description in RNAcentral is "partial 16S ribosomal RNA". It matches the Rfam family "Bacterial small subunit ribosomal RNA", at positions 28 to 507 of the family's 1533-position model. The record is from RNAcentral.